GAGGCUUCAAAGAUGACAUCAAACUGCAAAUUAGGCUACACACUGAAAUGUAAUCUGCAAACUUUCUCAGACUGUCAACAUGGUGUGAAGAAAAGAGAAUUAUCUAGCAACAUACAGAAUAUUUGCAACAGGGUGAAUACAGUAUUACAAUCAAGUAUUGCUUCCAUCCUUGCAAAUCUACAAUCACAUCUCACUCCUUGUGAAAACUCACCUUUCACUGUCUAUACCGCAUGAGAUGUCCCACUUCAGCAAUUCUG
Long non-coding RNA from Stegostoma tigrinum, 257 nucleotides. RefSeq lists it as uncharacterized. The record is from RefSeq and is a predicted model, not a curated record. The transcript has 3 exons. NCBI's taxonomy places the organism in Eukaryota, Metazoa, Chordata, Chondrichthyes, Orectolobiformes, Stegostomatidae.